UGUCUCAGUAAUUCAGUGUUGCCAACUCCUCAGUAAGGAAAGUAGCUAUUGGCUGUCCUAAAAGUCGCCAAAUGACGUCAUAGCACAAUUUGCAUAAUUGACCAUGUAAUUGUGAUGGACGCUGUAGAAGAGAGGAAAAAUGUCGUGGGGAGAGACAAAAAGUGAGUAAAAAACACCCUAAAUAUGUUUUGAACUAUAAAUGAACUUUAUUUAUUUAUUUUUUAUGUCACAAUUCCAACCCCCAUCCUUUAUCUGGGCUUGGGACCUGCAAAAGAGACACUGACCGAGUUACUUAUUUUAUUUUAAAUGUUUAAAUUUUUGUUUUUUAUAUUCCCUCCCUGAAUGUUUGCCAGGGCGGGAUCAGCCAGCGGCGGCUUCCCGCAUGUGCUAUUCAUUUGCAGUCUGGACGCGGAGGGGUGAACAUCUCCUGCUCUGACUGCAGCUAGGAGGGACUACUACGCGAGGACUGGGCCGCCUGUCAGUGCUUUGGGAUUGGGAUGGGGGUAGGAGCACCCCGGCAGCAUCCCGGCAACACCCGCUGCUCUUUGAGAAGUAUGCAGUGACUGGAUUGACUGACUAUUCCUCUACCAGAGUGGGGGCCUCGAUGUGAGCCAUGCAUGACCCUAGAGAAGGGCUCCUUCCGGGUGGACCUGCGUCGGUUCCACUCCACCCCACUGCAGCGCCCGCGAGACCAAGCAGCUUAACGUCCUGGUGGAGUGUACGCUCUUCGCACCCUCCAAGGCCAGCGACGACUCGGAGAACUGUGUUGACGGGGCAGAGAGAGAAAGAGAGACGGAGAAGAGGGCAAAGGGAGGAGAAGGAGAAGCGGCCGUCGCACGGUGGGGGCUUCACUAUAGACAACAUCCAAGAGGAACGGGUGAAGUGAAAGAGUGUGAUGGGAGCCAGGAUCAGAUCACUACUCUGUGAUAUCAGAUGCUCUCAGGCCUCCACAUUAACUGAUUAUAUUCGCCUAAGAUAUUUUAAUUUAAAAUAAUAAGCAACUGUAAUUUUAAAUGUAGAACAUUCGUUUAUUUAAGACUGACCGCGUUGAUUGUUUAAAGUGCUGCAUUAGUGAAUACUGCUUUUCAGAUAUCUUUUCAGGUAGAUAGUUCAGAUAAAUUAUGAGGAUAGUUUGGACCAGAUGAAUAAGAUGUUAGAUAUUGUUUAAUAAUGAGAUUAUAGUUUUAUCUAAAAAGUACUAUAAGUAAAAUGGUAGAACACUGACACAGACAACUUGUCAAAAAUAAAUAAAUAUUUAUUUAAAACAUUUAUUCUCUGAAGAGAUAAUAAUUACAAAUCCACUCUGCAUGCCAGCUGCUGUGUAAUGUAUGCCAAAACAAAUCAAUGGUCAUAAAGGUUUGACAGGCUACUGUUUUUUGUUGUUGUUGGGUGUGACUGUGUGAGGAUCUACAUUCAAUAGAAAAACAAGCCAUCUGCCAAAUGAGUACAUUUAUUACAUCAAUACUAUCAUUAAAAUAGCAACGGGCUAAAGCAAAUAGACAGUGCCUAUAGAACGGCUACACACCCCUUGGAUUUAUUCACAUUAUAUUGUGUUACAAAGUGGGAUGAAAAUGGAUUUAAUUGUAUUUUUUGGUCAACGGCCUCCACAAAAUACUCUGUAAUAUUAAAGUGGAAGACACUAAUAUACCUUGAUUAGAUAAGUACAUACGGCUUUGCAUUUAGGCCAAAAAGUGUAUUCCUUUGCCAUGUUUUUGUUGUUGUUGCAGUAUUACUUUAGUGCCUUUAUGCGUGUUUUGGAUUAUUUUUAUUCUGUAUAUUUAUAUUCUUCUUUUCACUCUGUCAUUUAGGUCAUUAUUGUGGAGUCACUACAAUAUUGUUGAUCCAUCCUCCGUCUUCUCCCAUCAGAGCCAUUGAACUCUGUAUUAUUUUAAAAUCCCCAAUGGCCUCAUAAUAACAUCCCUAAGCAGUUUCCUUAAUGUCCUGCAGCUCAGAAGGACGACUGCAUCUUUGAUGUUUCUGGGUGGUUUAAUACAUAAUCCACAGCAUAAUUAUUCAUUUGACCAUGCUUAAAGAUAUAAUCAAUGUCUGAUUUGUUAUUGUUACCCAUCUUCCAAUCACUGGUCAUCUUUGAGGCUUUCAAAAAUCUCCCUCGUCUUUGUAGUUUAAUCUGUGCUUCAAAUUCAAUACUUGGCUGAGGGACCUUACAUAUGUUGUAUGUAUGGAGGACAGAGCAAGGG
Molecule: long non-coding RNA, 2198 nt
Organism: Oncorhynchus masou masou (cherry salmon)
Lineage: Eukaryota; Metazoa; Chordata; Actinopteri; Salmoniformes; Salmonidae
Exons: 3
Source: RefSeq, a predicted model, not a curated record